Molecule: ribosomal RNA, 852 nt
Filed under: uncultured bacterium
Lineage: Bacteria
Description: bacterial SSU rRNA
Rfam family: Bacterial small subunit ribosomal RNA
Source: RNAcentral
AUCUCUUUUAGAGAUGAGUGGCGAACGGGUGAGUAAUACAUAGGUAACCUGCCCCUGUGCGGGGGAUAACAGGAGGAAACUCCUGCUAAUACCGCAUAGCCAUGAGCACCGCAUGGAGCUCAUGCCAAAUAUCCUUUAUGGGAUAGCGCAGGGAUGGACCUAUGGCGCAUUAGCUGGUUGGCGGGGCAACGGCCCACCAAGGCAACGAUGCGUAGCCGGCCUGAGAGGGCGGACGGCCACAUUGGGACUGAGACACGGCCCAUACUCCUACGGGAGGCAGCAGUAGGGAAUUUUCGGCAAUGGGGGAAACCCUGACCGAGCAACGCCGCGUGAGCGAAGAAGGCCUUCGGGUCGUAAAGCUCUGUUGUAAAGGAAGAACGGCGCAUACAGGAAAUGGUAUGCGAGUGACGGUACUUUACCAGAAAGCCACGGCUAACUACGUGCCAGCAGCCGCGGUAAUACGUAGGUGGCGAGCGUUAUCCGGAAUCAUUGGGCGUAAAGAGGGAGCAGGCGGCCGCAAGGGUCUGUGGUGAAAGACCGAAGCUAAACUUCGGUAAGCCAUGGAAACCGGGCGGCUAGAGUGCGGAAGAGGAUCGUGGAAUUCCAUGUGUAGCGGUGAAAUGCGUAGAUAUAUGGAGGAACACCAGUGGCGAAGGCGACGGUCUGGGCCGCAACUGACGCUCAUUCCCGAAAGCGUGGGGAGCAAAUAGGAUUAGAUACCCUAGUAGUCCACGCCGUAAACGAUGGUCACUAAGUGUCGGGGGUCAAACCCCGGUGCUGCAGUCAACGCAAUAAGUGACCCGCCUGAGUAGUACGUUCGCAAGAAUGAAACUCAAAGGAAUUGACGGAAGG